GUGUAUAUAAUUUAAAAAAAUAUUAGAUUGUGGUUCUAAAAAUGAAAGUUAUACCCUUUCUAUACACC
Molecule: transfer RNA, 68 nt
Filed under: Paramesotriton longliensis
Lineage: Eukaryota; Metazoa; Chordata; Amphibia; Caudata; Salamandridae
Description: tRNA-His
Rfam family: tRNA
About the family: Transfer RNA (tRNA) molecules are approximately 80 nucleotides in length. Their secondary structure includes four short double-helical elements and three loops (D, anti-codon, and T loops). Further hydrogen bonds mediate the characteristic L-shaped molecular structure. tRNAs have two regions of fundamental functional importance: the anti-codon, which is responsible for specific mRNA codon recognition, and the 3' end, to which the tRNAs corresponding amino acid is attached (by aminoacyl-tRNA synthetases). tRNAs cope with the degeneracy of the genetic code in two manners: having more than one tRNA (with a specific anti-codon) for a particular amino acid; and 'wobble' base-pairing, i.e. permitting non-standard base-pairing at the 3rd anti-codon position.
Source: RNAcentral